RNAcentral lists this long non-coding RNA (306 nucleotides) under Zostera marina. RNAcentral describes it as "long non-coding RNA (ZMAR_LNC001605)". Lineage: Eukaryota; Viridiplantae; Streptophyta; Magnoliopsida; Alismatales; Zosteraceae. The record is from RNAcentral.
GACAAUAUGACUGUUCAGAAAUUAAAUGAGCAAAACAUUGAAAGCAACGCGAUCUCUAAGGAAGUUAUUUUGGUACGGGAUAAAAUAUUUAGCAUCCUACCAGAUCUCAAUGCUUCAGUGGCUUCUAACACAUCAAUUUAGGGAUGGUCAUGAGAUCCCGCUGUGAGAAAAAAGAGGAGAGAAAAGAUUAUGGAGGGGCUGGAAAAUCAGGAAGAAGACGAGGCUCAGUCGCAAUUUCCGUGGCUUAGAGCUUUAGUUUCACAGAGACCAGGGCAGCAACUUUCUAAUCGUUUCGUCGAGUUAAGA